This is a long non-coding RNA of Anolis carolinensis (green anole), 2234 nucleotides long. RefSeq lists it as uncharacterized. The record is from RefSeq and is a predicted model, not a curated record. Lineage: Eukaryota; Metazoa; Chordata; Lepidosauria; Squamata; Anolidae. The transcript is spliced from 4 exons.
GCUAGGCGUUCUCAAAAACUUGUUUGAACAUCCAGGUCUUCAGGUCCUUAUGGAAGGCGGACAGUGUGGAGGCUUGCCUAAUCUCCUUGGGGAGGGCGUUCCAAAGCAGGGCUGGGCAUGCAGUUCUCCAAGGAGUUGUUGAUGUUUUCGUAGCCUGUGACACUUCCACAGAGUGCUGUCUUUAGCAAAACAAAAGGAUACACUGCUUCUCUAAGAAGCCUCCAGAAGCUUGAAUCCAAGCCAGUUCCCCAGACCUUGAUGAAAUGUAUGGUCCUCAUAUUGCCACUAUCAAUGCCAUCACAGAUCCGAAGUAGAAGUGAAGGCUCAUAUGAUACACCAGUGAUUCCAAGGGCUCAUGGAAGAAUAAAGGAGGCAUUCUGAGUGGCCAAUACAAGUUCCUGACCCGCUCAAGAGCUAGGCAGACCAGGCUUGAAUAAUUAUCCAUUUGUCAGAUCUGUUUUAUGGAAUUCAACCAUCUAUCAACAAUGGAACUGAAACAUUCUUGGUCUCAUCUUCUUCCCUCCCCACAUCCUGAAACUAGCUCAGACACAUUAUGUGUCAAACAAAGCACAUUCAAAGCAGACUAAAAUUCUCAUAUCUUCCACCUUUGCCACUAACCUAUCUCUAUCAUUUUCCACAACAAUACAUCUGAUAUAUACCUUCAAGCGAGGGGUAGAGCAAGUGUGGUAGGCUAUUUUCACAUACCUUGAUUUACCAUAAGAAGAAGCAAAAUAUAAAGCCAAAAAACAGCUUCCAGGAAUAGAAAGUAGCCUUGCCAUGUCCCAUUUUCCUUACAGUUGGGAAGCCUUGCAGAGAGGGUUUCCUGGGACUGCAAAACCAGAAGCACAACCUUCCCUAUGCCCCUGCUUUAAGCAUUUCUUCUAUGUCAGCCCGUUCCUUCAUUUCCAACUCCAAACCACCAGCUUAUGCUUCUGUAAUGGAAAGUUUAGCCAAUCUGAGAAGUAGGUGACCAAAGUGUGAACACGUACUUCUGCAGACGCGCGAUCACUGCAAGUUUCAGGGCAUAAAUCACUUAAACAAAAAACUCCUCUCCAGUCUGCAUAUGCAUAUACUAAACAUUCAAAGGCAACAUUCACAAUUUAAGGACACAGCAGCCACAAAGUUGAUAAGCUAUGAAAGCCUCCCAGCUUUAGAAAUAGCAACAAGCCCUAUGUUAACCAUUUCAAUAUGACUGAGCAAGAUGCUUCCUUGCCCUAAAUGUCACCAUAUCAAAACUGUACAUGCAUUAACAUGUACAGUUAACAAAGAAGAUGUGUCCCUGGUUGUUACUUCUUUUAAAAGUAGAAAUAACAAGAGAAGGAAUAGGGACAGGAUACAAAACCACAAAAAAGAUGAGAAGUUCAAUAUGUUUCCAGUUAACAUUCAAUACUAAACAAUGUAUGCAUCUGAAGCGAAAUAACCUAGUCAGGUAAACUUUGCAUAAGUACUCAAAAACAUUUUGACUCUUCUAGAGACCCCAGAAGUCUUUUUCCACAAUGUAUUCAGGAAUUAUUUUUUCUUUCACAAGUUUCCAUUUUUCAUGGUUUCCAUUCUGGAGAGCAGACAUAUGGGUUCUAUACUAGGAGAAGCUGCUGAGACAAACUUCUCUGCAGUUUACCUUGCCUCUUUUAGGCUGGUACACAUGGUAACAGAAGCAUUUAUUAGAGCAGAAACCUACUUUUUCUGAGCUCAAAUUUUAUUACACUGUUUACUCUAGAUGCACUGAUGUUUUUACUCUAGAUAUGCUACUCUUAUCCUCUCUCACCAUCCUCUCAAUGCCAAAUCUGGUAUUAAAAAUUUCCAGCUAGAUAGAAGACAAAGAAAUAAAGUGGAGCUUGGCAGGUAGAAAUGGACUUUAUAAAAAGAACAUUCUUUGUCAGAUGCUUUAUUAACUAAGGUACCUAUAUUGGAUAUCGGGGUUUGCCAUUCUGGCUCUUGCAACUACCAUCAGUCUCCUCUCCACUCUCAUUUACACCUAAUACAAACAUCAUUCAGAGAAAAUUAGAAAUUGAUUUGAAGCGGUGACUAACUGGUUUGGUGACGUAGUUAAGCAUCCGAGACAGAAAGUGUUCACUUUAACAACAUUAUCAUGCUUUUGUUUGCCGCCUAGAGAAGGAAUCAACUAUAUUUAGAGACAUGAAUUCCAAAUCUCCUGCUAGUGAUGAUUUCCUGUCUUAUAUUUACAAGAAAUUGUUGUACUAUGUAAUAUAUCAAUUAAAAAACCAGUUAAGAAA